CUGUUUUUAUGCGAAUGCCCGAAACUACCGAACGGGAGACCACCCCGGGGUGGUCGUGUGUUUCCAAUUAUCUGAGCGAUACAAUGUUGGGAAGGGAAUUAAGUACCUGUAUGUGUGGCCGCCAUUUAGCCUACCGAACACGUGGCGGUGGCCAUCUUACGCACGAACAGCGGUACUUGGUUGUCGAACGCCUGGAACUCAAACCGGGCAUUCGACUAACCAAGCACCGCUAAGACCUCCAGCAUGCUCCGACAGCACGAAUCAAACACACGAACGCCCCGGCGUUCGGUAGAUAGAUUCAUACUAAAUGAGGG
Molecule: non-coding RNA, 314 nt
Organism: Pelobates cultripes (western spadefoot toad)
Lineage: Eukaryota; Metazoa; Chordata; Amphibia; Anura; Pelobatidae
Source: the annotation of a GenBank genome assembly